Molecule: ribosomal RNA, 395 nt
Filed under: Sitta europaea (wood nuthatch)
Lineage: Eukaryota; Metazoa; Chordata; Aves; Passeriformes; Sittidae
Description: partial 12S ribosomal RNA
Rfam family: Bacterial small subunit ribosomal RNA
Source: RNAcentral
GCCUGGCCCUAAAUCUUGAUGCUUUAUACAACCCAAGCAUCCGCCCGAGAACUACGAGCACAAACGCUUAAAACUCUAAGGACCUGGCGGUGCCCCAAAUCCACCUAGAGGAGCCUGUUCUGUAAUCGAUGAUCCACGAUAUUACCUGACCAUCUCUUGCCUUAUCAGCCUACAUACCGCCGUCUCCAGCUCACCUACACUGAAAGCCCAACAGUGAGCGCAAUAGCCUACCCCGCUAGUAAGACAGGUCAAGGUAUAGCCUAUGGGAUGGAAGCAAUGGGCUACAUUUUCUAGAAUAGAACAUACGGCAAAGGGACUUGAAACUGUCCCUGGAAGGAGGAUUUAGCAGUAAAGUGGGACAAUCGAGCCCUCUUUAAGCCGGCUCUGGGACACGU